GUGGGGAAUAUUGGACAAUGGGGGAAACCCUGAUCCAGCCAUGCCGCGUGAAUGAUGAAGGCCUUCGGGUUGUAAAGUUCUUUUGGCGGGGACGAUGAUGACGGUACCCGCAGAAUAAGCUCCGGCUAACUUCGUGCCAGCAGCCGCGGUAAUACGAAGGGAGCUAGCGUUGUUCGGAAUUACUGGGCGUAAAGGGCGCGUAGGCGGUCAAGCAAGUCAGAUGUGAAAGCCCUGGGCUCAACCCGGGAACUGCGUUUGAUACUGUUUGGCUUGAAUUCGGUAGAGGUGAGUGGAAUUCCCAGUGUAGAGGUGAAAUUCGUAGAGAUUGGGAAGAACACCAGUGGCGAAGGCGGCUCACUGGACCGACAUUGACGCUGAGGCGCGAAAGCGUGGGGAGCAAACAGGAUUAGAUACCCUUGUAGUCC
RNAcentral lists this ribosomal RNA (425 nucleotides) under uncultured bacterium. RNAcentral's name for it is "partial 16S ribosomal RNA". It matches the Rfam family "Bacterial small subunit ribosomal RNA", at positions 354 to 796 of the family's 1533-position model. The record is from RNAcentral.